Misgurnus anguillicaudatus (oriental weatherfish) is the source of this 308-nucleotide non-coding RNA. The record is from RefSeq and is a predicted model, not a curated record. Lineage: Eukaryota; Metazoa; Chordata; Actinopteri; Cypriniformes; Cobitidae.
UGACAGUGACAAAAAGGAAGCAGCCUUCUCUAGCCCACCCAAGUUUCCAUCAAAGGAGCAAGCCUAUGUCAGUAAGAAGAAAGCUGGCUAACCCUCCCACCCCUUGUUUAACUCCUCCAGCCCAUCCCACAUCAUUGUAGAGUGAAGAGACUGCGGUUAAUAUUCAGAAAGAGGCGCCGAGAACUGAAGGCUUUCCUGACUUGACACCGAAUAAUAACGAAGGCCUGUGUGCUUUACAGCAGCCUCCACGUCACCCUCUUCCAGGGCUCCGUCAGAGGACUAACGAUAGUAAGAUAUUUUACAUGUAA